GCGACUGUGGCGGAAUAGGCAGACGCGCACGUUUGAGGGGCGUGUGGGCAACCGUACCGGUUCAAGUCCGGUCAGUCGCACCA
This 83-nucleotide transfer RNA is filed under the name Butyricicoccus porcorum. RNAcentral describes it as "tRNA-Leu". It matches the Rfam family "tRNA". From Rfam's summary of the family: Transfer RNA (tRNA) molecules are approximately 80 nucleotides in length. Their secondary structure includes four short double-helical elements and three loops (D, anti-codon, and T loops). Further hydrogen bonds mediate the characteristic L-shaped molecular structure. tRNAs have two regions of fundamental functional importance: the anti-codon, which is responsible for specific mRNA codon recognition, and the 3' end, to which the tRNAs corresponding amino acid is attached (by aminoacyl-tRNA synthetases). tRNAs cope with the degeneracy of the genetic code in two manners: having more than one tRNA (with a specific anti-codon) for a particular amino acid; and 'wobble' base-pairing, i.e. permitting non-standard base-pairing at the 3rd anti-codon position. Lineage: Bacteria; Bacillati; Bacillota; Clostridia; Eubacteriales; Butyricicoccaceae. The record is from RNAcentral. RNAcentral also lists the same sequence under 4 other names.